RNAcentral lists this unclassified non-coding RNA (312 nucleotides) under plant metagenome. RNAcentral's name for it is "partial contains 5.8S ribosomal RNA, internal transcribed spacer 2, and large subunit ribosomal RNA". The stretch from base 1 to 105 matches the Rfam family "5.8S ribosomal RNA", at positions 50 to 154 of the family's 154-position model. The record is from RNAcentral.
AAAAUGCGAUAAGUAGUGUGAAUUGCAGAAUUCAGUGAAUCAUCGAAUCUUUGAACGCACAUUGCGCCCUCUGGCAUUCCGGGGGGCAUGCCUGUCCGAGCGUCAUUACGCACCCUCAAGCCCGGCUUGUGUGAUGGGCCCCGGCGUCUCGUUCGCGAGACGGGCCCGAAAGGCAGCGGCGGCGUCGACCCGAUGAGCCCGAGCGUAUGGGGACUUCUGUCACACGUUCGCGGUGCGGACCGGCGCCUGCUUGACUUUUCUGAUUAUCCAGGUUGACCUCGGAUCAGGUAGGGAUACCCGCUGAACUUAAGC